RNAcentral lists this ribosomal RNA (468 nucleotides) under uncultured bacterium. RNAcentral's name for it is "partial 16S ribosomal RNA". It matches the Rfam family "Bacterial small subunit ribosomal RNA", at positions 36 to 507 of the family's 1533-position model. The record is from RNAcentral.
UCCUCCCUCUUUCUUCGUGCUUAACACAUGCAAGUCGAACGGAAAGGCCCUGCUUUUGUGGGGUGCUCGAGUGGCGAACGGGUGAGUAACACGUGAGUAACCUGCCCUUGACUUUGGGAUAACUUCAGGAAACUGGGGCUAAUACCGGAUAGGAGCUCCUGCUGCAUGGUGGGGGUUGGAAAGUUUCGGCGGUUGGGGAUGGACUCGCGGCUUAUCAGCUUGGUGGUGGGGUAGUGGCUUACCAAGGCUUUGCCGGGUAGCCGGCCUGAGAGGGUGACCGGCCACAUUGGGACUGAGAUACGGCCCAGACUCCUACGGGAGGCAGCAGUGGGGAAUAUUGCACAAUGGGCGGAAGCCUGAUGCAGCAACGCCGCGUGCGGGAUGACGGCCUUCGGGUUGUAAACCGCUUUCGCCUGUGACGAAGCGUGAGUGACGGUAAUGGGUAAAGAAGCACCGGCUAACUACGUG